RNAcentral lists this ribosomal RNA (488 nucleotides) under uncultured bacterium. RNAcentral's name for it is "bacterial SSU rRNA". It matches the Rfam family "Bacterial small subunit ribosomal RNA", at positions 28 to 507 of the family's 1533-position model. The record is from RNAcentral.
GAUGAACGCUAGCGGCAGGCCUAACACAUGCAAGUCAGGGGUAACAUGAAAAGCUUGCUUUUCUGAUGACGACCGGCGCACGGGUGCGUAACGCGUAUACAACCUACCUUUUAGCGGGGAAUAGCCCAGGGAAACUUGGAUUAAUGCCCCAUAGUAUAUAGACUUCUCCUGAAGUUUAUAUUAAACAUUUAUGGCUAUUAGAUGGGUAUGCGUCCUAUUAGUUAGUUGGUAAGGUAACGGCUUACCAAGGCAGCGAUAGGUAGGGGUCCUGAGAGGGAGAUCCCCACACUGGUACUGAGACACGGACCAGACUACCUACGGGAGGCAGCAGUGAGGAAUAUUGGACAAUGGGCGAGAGCCUGAUCCAGCCAUGCCGCGUGCAGGAAGACUGCCCUAUGGGUUGUAAACUGUCUUUUACAGAGGAAGAACCCACCCCCACGUGUGGGGGUUUGACGGUACUCUGCGAAUAAGGAUCGGCUAACUCCGUG